GCAUCAAUGGGGUAACGGUAACCCGAGUCGUUAUGUGUCCCCUGAUGAGGUCAAAUACUUGUGACUCGACUAGCUGUGGGUUCGACUCCCUCUUGAUGCA
Molecule: non-coding RNA, 100 nt
Organism: Stereum hirsutum FP-91666 SS1
Lineage: Eukaryota; Fungi; Basidiomycota; Agaricomycetes; Russulales; Stereaceae
Source: the annotation of a RefSeq genome assembly